RNAcentral lists this small RNA (378 nucleotides) under Pan troglodytes (chimpanzee). Its description in RNAcentral is "retained intron". The record is from RNAcentral. Lineage: Eukaryota; Metazoa; Chordata; Mammalia; Primates; Hominidae.
AAAAUAAAAAUAACCUUUUUGUAAAUGGGGGGAAAUGUUUCUUCUGCCUCUGGGAGAGAGACUCUUGCCUGGCUAAUGUGUACCCCACAUUCUUUAAAGGGUUUGGGCUUGCGAUGGCCAGAUACUCAAAGUGACUAGUCAGACUUAAGACUAUUAUGUAAUUUUAAUCAUGGAAUUUAUUUUUACUUUAAAGCAAGAUGGAAAGUUGCCUUUUGUUCCUCCGGAGGAAGAAUUUAUUAUGGGAGUUUCCAAGUAUGGCAUAAAAGUAUCAACAUCAGAUCAAUAUGAACAAGCACAAGCCAUUUGCAAGGUUUUAUCCACCGCUUUUGACUCUGUAUUAACAUCUGAGAAACCCUGAAUCCUGCAAUCAAGUAGAAG